AUGAGGCCACUAAGAAGGAUCUCUGCCACACCUCAUUUGCAACACCAAACACAUGAUGGUCAGACAAAUAUGGCUUCAUUGGCUACCAAAAUGGGAGUUCUUCCAAAGGAGAGGAGUGUUUCCAGCACAGCAGCACAAAACAGCGCGAACACCCCCACAAGACGCUCCACCAGCACUGCCCUGGCUCACAGCAGAAGGACAAGCCCCGAGACAUGGGUGCAUGCCCAACUGCACCCCAUGUAUCCCUGCCACCAUGUUCUUAUGGAUCCACAGCAGCGAUGCUGGAUGUCACCCUGCAGCCACCUGUUUUUCCAAAGUUCCUUCUCUAACACACCCUGCAAAAGAACAGCUCGCGUAUGGCCAACGAGUGCUGCACACCACAAAAAUCACGAGCACGUACUGAGGCCAACAUCUUCUGCACAAGACCGCUUAAAGAAGAAUGUAACAACUCCUGAUACAAGAGAAACACGUCCCUUUAAUUUUCAACUUUAAAGGAUCGUAAACACUGGAAGAAAAGGACGGAUGCCACACUCUCCUCCCUUCUGUCUGUAAAACCUAUUCCCCUCAAGGGAUGACAGUAAGACUGACACACAUCCCUUUCUCAAAAGCCACUAAAAUAGCUUUGCCAUGGGCUUCACAUGGAAUUUGCAACACUGAGCGCAUCUUUCUGGACUCAUCCUUCUGGCACAUCGAUAGUCAGGGCUCCUGCUGCCCAUCCCCUCCGCGCUCUUUUCGCCUAACGCUAUUUACUGCCGCUACCUUUUCAUAAUUAAGAGCCCGUAUCAAAGCAGUUGUAACACCAUUCAAGCAGCUUUUCUAAGGAAUCAAAUCUAAAUGAAAAGGCAAAAUAUAUAAAUGCCCCAUCUUCCACUGUGCAUAACUGAUUCGCUCUGCAUUUCAUCCGCAGGGAGAGGUACAGAUUCCAAAAGACGGGGAGGAAGGACCAUUCACAACAGCAGCAUCACACAGCCAGCAAGGAGAGCUGCAUGUGUAUUUUGCAUCCUAAAAACAGCCUGCUGACCACACUCUGGCCGUUACAGCAGGAUUGUUUGUCACAAUUCACAGGAGUGAGCAUUUAACCUACUGACUCCCGCAUCACAGCGCAGGCCAGGUGUUUGUUUCUUUUGUUAGAUUAAUAUUGGUGACAGAAUAACACUCAUUAAUGGAGAUAAUGACUAGACGGUGAGGCAGAAUAACAAUCCUUCCAAUGUACUGUACAAAGGAGUCUUCAACUUCAUUAAUUAAUAAAAUCUAUUAAAGAAUACA
RNAcentral lists this long non-coding RNA (1266 nucleotides) under Coturnix japonica (Japanese quail). Its description in RNAcentral is "lncRNA (ENSCJPG00005014396.1)". Lineage: Eukaryota; Metazoa; Chordata; Aves; Galliformes; Phasianidae. The record is from RNAcentral.